Molecule: transfer RNA, 73 nt
Filed under: Canis lupus familiaris (dog)
Lineage: Eukaryota; Metazoa; Chordata; Mammalia; Carnivora; Canidae
Also listed under: 1 other name
Rfam family: tRNA
About the family: Transfer RNA (tRNA) molecules are approximately 80 nucleotides in length.
Source: Rfam by way of RNAcentral
ACCUGGCUGGCUCAGUCGGUAGAGCAUGGGACUCUUGAUCUUGGGAUCGUGAGUUCAAGCCCCAUGUUGGGGU